Molecule: unclassified non-coding RNA, 282 nt
Filed under: uncultured fungus
Lineage: Eukaryota; Fungi
Description: partial contains 5.8S ribosomal RNA, internal transcribed spacer 2, and large subunit ribosomal RNA
Rfam family: 5.8S ribosomal RNA (bases 1-52)
Source: RNAcentral
AACGCAAAUUGCACUCUCUGGUAUUCCGGAGAGUAUGCCUGUUUGAGGGUCAGUGUAAUAAAAAAAUCGAUGUUGUUGCUACUUUACAUGGUAACGCAUCGGAAUUGAGUCAUCUUGUCUUUCGAUUAAGUGACUUAAAAUUUUCAUACGAUUUCGAAACGUAUUUAAUGUAUUAUGUACGUUUACGAAUAUCGGUUUAUUAGGUGCAGUCAUUCUCAUGAUUUGCGUCUAUAAUUUUCUUUUUUUGACCUCAAAUCAGGUAAGAAUACCCGCUGAACUUAA